ACCCUCAUUUCCUUACCCAGCAGAUCGAAACACUGAUCUGUGUUGUUAUAAAAGGAAGAAAAGUAAAAUAGAAGCUUUCAAUUCUUUGUAUGUUGAGUCAGUAUGAGUUGAAGCUGACUCAACAGCAUCUAACACCC
RNAcentral lists this small nucleolar RNA (137 nucleotides) under Echinops telfairi (small Madagascar hedgehog). RNAcentral describes it as "Small nucleolar RNA SNORA61 (ENSETEG00000026340.1)". The record is from RNAcentral. Lineage: Eukaryota; Metazoa; Chordata; Mammalia; Afrosoricida; Tenrecidae.